UACGUAGGCAGCAAGCGUUGUUCGGAGUUACUGGGCGUAAAGAGUGCGUAGGCGGUCCUGUAAGUUUGGUGUGAAAUCUCCCGGCUCAACUGGGAGGGUGCGCCGAAGACUGCAGGGCUUGAGUAUGGGAGAGGUAAGCGGAAUUCCUGGUGUAGCGGUGAAAUGCGUAGAUAUCAGGAGGAACACCUGCGGCGAAGGCGGGUAGCUGGGCCGACACUGACGCUGAGGCGCGAAAGCCAGGGGAGCGAACGGG
Molecule: ribosomal RNA, 253 nt
Filed under: uncultured bacterium
Lineage: Bacteria
Description: partial 16S ribosomal RNA
Rfam family: Bacterial small subunit ribosomal RNA
Source: RNAcentral